UUUCUCGGGUGGCGAGCGGCGGACGGGUGAGUAAUGCCUGGGAAAUUGCCCUGAUGUGGGGGAUAACCAUUGGAAACGAUGGCUAAUACCGCAUAAUAGCUUCGGCUCAAAGAGGGGGACCUUCGGGCCUCUCGCGUCAGGAUAUGCCCAGGUGGGAUUAGCUAGUUGGUGAGGUAAUGGCUCACCAAGGCGACGAUCCCUAGCUGGUCUGAGAGGAUGAUCAGCCACACUGGAACUGAGACACGGUCCAGACUCCUACGGGAGGCAGCAGUGGGGAAUAUUGCACAAUGGGCGCAAGCCUGAUGCAGCCAUGCCGCGUGUGUGAAGAAGGCCUUCGGGUUGUAAAGCACUUUCAGUCGUGAGGAAGGUGGUGUUGUUAAUAGCAGUAUCAUUUGACGUUAGCGACAGAAGAAGCACCGGCUAACUCCGUGCCAGCAGCCGCGGUAAUACGGAGGGUGCGAGCGUUAAUCGGAAUUACUGGGCGUAAAGCGCAUGCAGGUGGUUUGUUAAGUCAGAUGUGAAAGCCCGGGGCUCAACCUCGGAAUAGCAUUUGAAACUGGCAAGCUAGAGUACUGUAGAGGGGGGUAGAAUUUCAGGUGUAGCGGUGAAAUGCGUAGAGAUCUGAAGGAAUACCGGUGGCGAAGGCGGCCCCCUGGACAGAUACUGACACUCAGAUGCGAAAGCGUGGGGAGCAAACAGGAUUAGAUACCCUGGUAGUCCACGCCGUAAACGAUGUCUACUUGGAGGUUGUGGCCUUGAGCCGUGGCUUUCGGAGCUAACGCGUUAAGUAGACCGCCUGGGGAGUACGGUCGCAAGAUUAAAACUCAAAUGAAUUGACGGGGGCCCGCACAAGCGGUGGAGCAUGUGGUUUAAUUCGAUGCAACGCGAAGAACCUUACCUACUCUUGACAUCUACAGAAGCCAGCGGAGACGCAGGUGUGCCUUCGGGAACUGUAAGACAGGUGCUGCAUGGCUGUCGUCAGCUCGUGUUGUGAAAUGUUGGGUUAAGUCCCGCAACGAGCGCAACCCUUAUCCUUGUUUGCCAGCGAGUCAUGUCGGGAACUCCAGGGAGACUGCCGG
This 1079-nucleotide ribosomal RNA is filed under the name Vibrio diazotrophicus. RNAcentral describes it as "bacterial SSU rRNA". It matches the Rfam family "Bacterial small subunit ribosomal RNA", at positions 80 to 1155 of the family's 1533-position model. Lineage: Bacteria; Pseudomonadati; Pseudomonadota; Gammaproteobacteria; Vibrionales; Vibrionaceae. The record is from RNAcentral.